CUCUCCCGCCACCUCUGGACUCCCUCUCCCGCCACCUCUGGACUCCCUCUCCCGCCACCUCUGGACUCCCUCUCCCGCCACCUCUGGACUCCCUCUCCUGCCACCUCUGGACUCCCUCUCCCGCAGCUGCAGGAGGCCGUACUGUCACCCAGGCAGCCCUACCCUUGUGAGCACCCGAGGAGUGGGCAGAAGCACAGGCACAUGACAACACGAGACCCUGGACCCCUUCAGGAGCCAUGCGGAAAGACAUGGGGAGCACUUAGGAAGGCCCCCCAAGAUACUGAAGUGCCUGCCAGCCUCCACAUUUCCAUCUUUGCUUUGGCCAUCAGAAAGCUUGGAACUAAAUUUAAUCUCGCGUCAUAAUAAUCUUACCACCUUUUUGACUCCCUCCUUCUUUGGCAUGAGUUUUCAAUUUUCUGUUCCCAUUUUAGCAAUCUUAUUGUGCGUGUAUCUUUUAUUGGAAGCUGCCUCCAAUCCUUUUUAGAAGCUGACAGGGUAUAAAUUGUAAAUAAAAAUAAAUACUGCU
Molecule: long non-coding RNA, 526 nt
Filed under: Homo sapiens (human)
Lineage: Eukaryota; Metazoa; Chordata; Mammalia; Primates; Hominidae
Description: HSALNT0338009
Source: RNAcentral